GAUGAACGCUGGCGGCGUGCCUAAUACAUGCAAGUCGAGCGAACGGACGAGAAGCUUGCUUCUCUGAUGUUAGCGGCGGACGGGUGAGUAACACGUGGAUAACCUACCUAUAAGACUGGGAUAACUUCGGGAAACCGGAGCUAAUACCGGAUAAUAUAUUGAACCGCAUGGUUCAAUAGUGAAAGACGGUUUUGCUGUCACUUAUAGAUGGAUCCGCGCCGCAUUAGCUAGUUGGUAAGGUAACGGCUUACCAAGGCAACGAUGCGUAGCCGACCUGAGAGGGUGAUCGGCCACACUGGAACUGAGACACGGUCCAGACUCCUACGGGAGGCAGCAGUAGGGAAUCUUCCGCAAUGGGCGAAAGCCUGACGGAGCAACGCCGCGUGAGUGAUGAAGGUCUUCGGAUCGUAAAACUCUGUUAUUAGGGAAGAACAAAUGUGUAAGUAACUAUGCACGUCUUGACGGUACCUGAUCAGAAAGCCACGGCUAACUACGUG
This 497-nucleotide ribosomal RNA is filed under the name uncultured bacterium. RNAcentral's name for it is "partial 16S ribosomal RNA". It matches the Rfam family "Bacterial small subunit ribosomal RNA", at positions 28 to 507 of the family's 1533-position model. The record is from RNAcentral.